UACGUAGGGACCAAGCGUUGUUCGGAUUUACUGGGCGUAAAGGGCGCGUAGGCGGCGUGACAAGUCACCUGUGAAAUCUCUGAGCUUAACUCAGAACGGCCAAGUGAAACUGUUGUGCUAGAGUGCAGAAGGGGCAAUCGGAAUUCUUGGUGUAGCGGUGAAAUGCGUAGAUAUCAAGAGGAACACCUGAGGUGAAGACGGGUUGCUGGGCUGACACUGACGCUGAUGCGCGAAAGCCAGGGGAGCAAACGGG
This 253-nucleotide ribosomal RNA is filed under the name uncultured bacterium. Its description in RNAcentral is "partial 16S ribosomal RNA". It matches the Rfam family "Bacterial small subunit ribosomal RNA", at positions 524 to 776 of the family's 1533-position model. The record is from RNAcentral.